GGGCCUUUAGCUCAGUUGGUUAGAGCGACCGGCUCAUAACCGGUUGGUCCUAGGUUCGAGUCCUAGAAGGCCCACCA
RNAcentral lists this transfer RNA (77 nucleotides) under Gehongia tenuis. RNAcentral describes it as "tRNA-Ile". It matches the Rfam family "tRNA". Rfam says of the family: Transfer RNA (tRNA) molecules are approximately 80 nucleotides in length. Their secondary structure includes four short double-helical elements and three loops (D, anti-codon, and T loops). The record is from RNAcentral. Lineage: Bacteria; Bacillati; Bacillota; Clostridia; Christensenellales; Christensenellaceae.